CGCCGACCGGCCCGGCUUCCUGGGCACCAGCGGUUUCGGCUCGCUGGACAAUGUCAGCGUGCUGGAGCGCUGGGAAGGCGA
Molecule: transfer RNA, 81 nt
Filed under: Streptomyces nigrescens
Lineage: Bacteria; Bacillati; Actinomycetota; Actinomycetes; Kitasatosporales; Streptomycetaceae
Description: tRNA-Arg
Source: RNAcentral